This 433-nucleotide ribosomal RNA is filed under the name uncultured bacterium. RNAcentral's name for it is "partial 16S ribosomal RNA". It matches the Rfam family "Bacterial small subunit ribosomal RNA", at positions 29 to 507 of the family's 1533-position model. The record is from RNAcentral.
AACGAACGCUGGCGGCAUGCCUAACACAUGCAAGUCGAACGAGACCUUCGGGUCUAGUGGCGCACGGGUGCGUAACGCGUGGGAACCUGCCUUUAGGUUCGGAAUAACUCAGAGAAAUUUGAGCUAAUACCGGAUGAUGUCUUCGGACCAAAGAUUUAUCGCCUUUAGAUGGGCCCGCGUUGGAUUAGCUAGUUGGUGGGGUAAAGGCCUACCAAGGCGACGAUCCAUAGCUGGUCUGAGAGGAUGAUCAGCCACACUGGGACUGAGACACGGCCCAGACUCCUACGGGAGGCAGCAGUGGGGAAUAUUGGACAAUGAGCGAAAGCCUGAUCCAGCAAUGCCGCGUGAGUGAUGAAGGCCUUAGGGUUGUAAAGCUCUUUUACCCGAGAUGAUAAUGACAGUAUCGGGAGAAUAAGCUCCGGCUAACUCCGUG